This 560-nucleotide ribosomal RNA is filed under the name uncultured bacterium. RNAcentral describes it as "bacterial SSU rRNA". It matches the Rfam family "Bacterial small subunit ribosomal RNA", at positions 224 to 801 of the family's 1533-position model. The record is from RNAcentral.
GAUGAGCCCGCGUUGGAUUAGCUAGUUGGUGGGGUACAGGCCUACCAAGGCGACGAUCCAUAGCUGGUCUGAGAGGAUGAUCAGCCACAUUGGGACUGAGACACGGCCCAAACUCCUACGGGAGGCAGCAGUGGGGAAUAUUGGACAAUGGGCGCAAGCCUGAUCCAGCCAUGCCGCGUGAGUGAUGAAGGUCUUAGGAUUGUAAAGCUCUUUCACCGGGGACGAUAAUGACGGUACCCGGAGAAGAAGCCCCGGCUAACUUCGUGCCAGCAGCCGCGGUAAUACGAAGGGGGCUAGCGUUGUUCGGAAUUACUGGGCGUAAAGCGCACGUAGGCGGAUAUUUAAGUCAGGGGUGAAAUCCCGGGGCUCAACCCCGGAACUGCCUUUGAUACUGGGUAUCUUGAGUGUGGUAGAGGUGAGUGGAAUUGCGAGUGUAGAGGUGAAAUUCGUAGAUAUUCGCAGGAACACCAGUGGCGAAGGCGGCUCACUGGACCACAACUGACGCUGAGGUGCGAAAGCGUGGGGAGCAAACAGGAUUAGAUACUCUGGUAGUCCACGCC